AACGAACGCUGGCGGCAUGCCUAACACACGCAAGUCGAACGAAGGCUUCGGCCUUAGUGGCGCACGGGUGCGUAACGCGUGGGAAUCUGCCCCUUGCUUCGGAAUAACAGUUAGAAAUGACUGCUAAUACCGGAUGAUGUCGAAAGACCAAAGAUUUAUCGGCAAGGGAUGAGCCCGCGUAGGAUUAGGUAGUUGGUGGGGUAAAGGCCUACCAAGCCGACGAUCCUUAGCUGGUCUGAGAGGAUGAUCAGCCACACUGGGACUGAGACACGGCCCAGACUCCUACGGGAGGCAGCAGUGGGGAAUAUUGGACAAUGGGGGCAACCCUGAUCCAGCAAUGCCGCGUGAGUGAUGAAGGCCUUAGGGUUGUAAAGCUCUUUUACCCGGGAUGAUAAUGACAGUACCGGGAGAAUAAGCUCCGGCUAACUCCGUGCCAGCCGCCGCUGUAA
This 449-nucleotide ribosomal RNA is filed under the name uncultured bacterium. Its description in RNAcentral is "partial 16S ribosomal RNA". It matches the Rfam family "Bacterial small subunit ribosomal RNA", at positions 29 to 523 of the family's 1533-position model. The record is from RNAcentral.